GCCGGCGGUCCUCGGGUGUAGAGGGAGACAGCUGCCCGGGGGCACGGGCGAGCACCUCUGGGGGUCCCGGAUCCUAGACCCGCGGCCCCGGGCCCUACUCUGUGUGGAGUCUCUCGCUGGACCUGGAACUCAGGGAUCCUAGGGAGGUCAGCUGGAAGGGAAGACACGCCUCUCCAUACCAAGCCUGAGGUUCACUGCAAAAGAGAGGCCGCCGCCCUGCCCCCACCCUGCCCCCACCCUGCCCCAAACCCGCCCCAACCUGCUCCUCCAGCAGAGCCCUGUGUUCUUCCUGUCUGAGGAGUGGUUCCAGCAAAGCGGGCUCUUCCACGUCCUUCAGCUCCCCCAGUGGCGCCGGAUCUAGGAAAGGUUGUGCCUUUUGCUGAAACUCUGGGGUUGACAGGAGCUCAUCUAACAGGCUGGAGGUGAGUGCAGACGAGAGCCCCGGCUCCUGGAGCGGUUGGGAGGUGCCCGGUUGGCUGGCAUCUGCGCUUGACGCGGAGGCCUCCGGGGUCACGAGCUCGGGAGGUGAAGGUGCCCCGUCUUCGGGUUCCCAUGCCGCCCUGGCGACCUGGGGCUCCAGCCCCACCACGGACUCCGGUGGGACGUGGGUGGUGCAAGCACACCUUUCCCCUGUGACUCAGCUUGAGGGGCCCCAAGCUGUCCCACUGAGCACGCGCCCAGCAGGCCGUCGCGCUGUGGGUUCUGGUCUUCCUGUCAUUUGUUGGGGUUCGGAGGCCACCAGGGAGUCUGAGGAUGGGAGAGCCCCAGUUUCGGAGGGAGGGGCCAGGACAGUGAACACAAAGCCCCGCAUGCUCGGGCAGGUUGGGAGAGUCCUUCUGCCUGUGCAGCCUGGCUGGGCUGGAGCAGGGGGAUGACCCUUGCUUCCUGGCUCACGAAAGCCCCCUGUGGGAGAGCCCCAGGAGCGCAGGGCAUGUGGGGUGCAGGAAGCGACGUUCCCCACGCCCCGGUGUAGGUGAACCCGAUAGAGGAGGGAGGAGGGUGACACCCACCAGGGGUGCUAAUUAGUAACCACAGUGGCCUCAAAGAACUCAAAUGAAAGGAAGACUUGCAAGUCUCUCACUUUAAGUCCAGAGCUAGAAAUGAUUAAGCUUAGUGAAGAUGUAGAAUUUUCAUAGCUAGAGAGAAGUCAACACUUGGCUUCAGAACUUCAAAGGAUGGGCUGACUCUCUUUGAGGACCACUGCAGCUGGUGACUUUAGGUUACAGCCAGUGCUCAUUGACCACUCUGAAAAUCUCAGGGCCCUUAAGAAUUAUGCAAAAUCUAUUCUUUCUGUGCUCUAGAAAUGGAACAUCACUGUCUGGGUGACAGCACAUCUGUUAAUAGCAUGGUUUACUGAAUAUUUUAAUCCCACUAUUGAGACCUACUGCUCAGAAAAAAAAAAAAAACGAUUCUUUUAAAAAGAUUGUUGGUUGGCCAGGCAUAGUGGCUCAUACUUGUAAUCCCUGCACUUUGGGAGGCUGAGGAUCACCUGAGGUCAGGAGUUCAAGACCAGCCUGGCCAAAAUGAUGAAACCCCAUCUCUAAUAAAAAUACAAAAAAAAUUAGCCAGGCAUGGUGGUAGUACCUGUAAUUUCAGCUACUCGGGAGGCUGAGGCAGAAGAAUGGCUUGAACCCUGGAGGCAGAGGUUGCAGUGAGCCGAGACCGCACCACUGUACUCCAGCCUGGGCAACAAGAGUGAAACUACGUCAAAAAAAAAAAAAAAAAAAAAAAAAAAAAAAAAAAAAAAGAAAAAGAAAAGAAAGAAAAGAAAGAAAAAGAAAAAAUCAAAGGAAAGAAAAGGAAAAAAGAAAAAAAGAUUGCUGCUUAUUGACAAUUCACCUAGCUCCCCAGAAGCUUAGAUGGAGAUGUACUUGGAAAUUAAUGUUAUUUUCAUGGCUGCUAGUACAAUAUUUACCUUCAGCCUGUGGAUCAAGGAGUGGUUUUGACUUUCAAGUGUUUUUAUUAAUUAAUAAUUGCAUUUUGUAAAGGUAUAGCUGUCAUAGAUAGUGAUUUCUUUGAUGAAUCUGGAUAAACUGAAUUGAAAACCUUUUGGAAAGGAUUCACCAUUAAUCCUUUCAUGAUAUUUGAACCUCCUCCCGUGAAUCACAAAUGUCCUUAAUAGCAAUCCUUAAAUGCCAUUAAGGACAUUUGUGAUUGAUGGGAGGAGGAUGAAAUAUUAACAUUAACAGGAGUUUGGAAGAAGUUGAUUCCAGCCCUCAUGGAUGACUUUGAGGGCUCAGGAUGUCAGUGGAGGAAGUCCCUGCAGAUGUGGUAGAAAUCACAAGACAACUAGAAUUAGAAUUAGGGCCUUAAGGUGAGAUGAAAUUGCUGUAAACUCAUGAUGAAACUUGAACAAAUAGGGAGUUGCUUCUUAUGGACGAGCAAAGAAAAUAUUUUCUUGAGAUGGAAUAUAAUCCAGGUGGAGAUGCUAUCAACAUUGUUGAAAUGACAACAAAGGAUUUAGAAUAUUCCAUAAACCUAGUUGAUAAAGCAGCAGCAGGGUUUGAGAGGGUUUACUCCAAUUUUGAAAGAAGUUCUACUGUUGAUAAAAUGCUGUCAAACAGCAUCACAUGCUACAGGGAAAUCUUUUGUGAAAGGAACAAACUUCAUUGUUUUAAAAAAUUGACACAGGUUUCCAACCUUCAGCAGCCCCCACGCUGAUUAGCCAGCAGUCAUCAAUAUAGAGGCAAGACUCUCACCAGCAAA
This 2706-nucleotide long non-coding RNA is filed under the name Homo sapiens (human). RNAcentral's name for it is "lncAB578.1". The stretch from base 2089 to 2169 matches the Rfam family "mir-4477 microRNA precursor family". The record is from RNAcentral. Lineage: Eukaryota; Metazoa; Chordata; Mammalia; Primates; Hominidae.